RNAcentral lists this microRNA precursor (97 nucleotides) under Drosophila sechellia. RNAcentral's name for it is "microRNA dse-mir-282 precursor". Its record names the gene dse-mir-282. It matches the Rfam family "mir-282 microRNA precursor family". The record is from miRBase by way of RNAcentral. Lineage: Eukaryota; Metazoa; Arthropoda; Insecta; Diptera; Drosophilidae.
AGUUUCCUUUUAAAUCUAGCCUCUACUAGGCUUUGUCUGUGCAUUCGAAAGCCGAUCAGACAUAGCCUAUAAGAGGUUAGGUGUACCAAGGUGAACA